GAUGAACGCUGGCGGCGUGCCUAAUACAUGCAAGUCGAGCGAACGGACGAGAAGCUUGCUUCUCUGAUGUUAGCGGCGGACGGGUGAGUAACUCGUGGAUAACCUACCUAUAAGACUGGGAUAACUUCGGGAAACCGGAGCUAAUACCGGAUGAUAUUUUGAACCGCAUGGUUCAAAAGUGAAAGACGGUCUUGCUGUCACUUAUAGAUGGAUCCGCGCUGCAUUAGCUAGUUGGUAAGGUAACGGCUUACCAAGGCAACGAUGCAUAGCCGACCUGAGAGAGUGAUCGGCCACACUGGAACUGAGACACGGUCCAGACUCCUACGGGAGGCAGCAGUAGGGAAUCUUCCGCAAUGGGCGAAAGCCUGACGGAGCAACGCCGCGUGAGUGAUGAAGGUCUUCGGAUCGUAAAACUCUGUUAUUAGGGAAGAACAUAUGUGUAAGUAACUGUGCACAUCUUGACGGUACCUAAUCAGAAAGCCACGGCUAACUACGUG
RNAcentral lists this ribosomal RNA (497 nucleotides) under uncultured bacterium. RNAcentral describes it as "partial 16S ribosomal RNA". It matches the Rfam family "Bacterial small subunit ribosomal RNA", at positions 28 to 507 of the family's 1533-position model. The record is from RNAcentral.